GACGAACGCUGGCGGUGUGCUUAACACAUGCAAGUCGAACGCUGAAGCCUAGCUUGCUGGGUGGAUGAGUGGCGAACGGGUGAGUAACACGUGAGUAACCUGCCCCCUUCUUUGGGAUAACGCCCGGAAACGGGUGCUAAUACUGGAUAUUCACUGGUCUUCGCAUGGGGGUUGGUGGAAAGGUUUUUUCUGGUGGGGGAUGGGCUCGCGGCCUAUCAGCUUGUUGGUGGGGUGAUGGCCUACCAAGGCUUUGACGGGUAGCCGGCCUGAGAGGGUGACCGGUCACAUUGGGACUGAGAUACGGCCCAGACUCCUACGGGAGGCAGCAGUGGGGAAUAUUGCACAAUGGGCGAAAGCCUGAUGCAGCGACGCCGCGUGAGGGAUGGAGGCCUUCGGGUUGUAAACCUCUUUCGCUCAUGGUCAAGCCGCAACUUGGGGUUGUGGUGAGGGUAGUGGGUAAAGAAGCGCCGGCUAACUACGUGCCAGCAGCCGCGGUAAUACGUAGGGCGCGAGCGUUGUCCGGAAUUAUUGGGCGUAAAGGGCUUGUAGGCGGUUGGUCGCGUCUGCCGUGAAAUCCUCUGGCUUAACUGGGGGCGUGCGGUGGGUACGGGCUGACUUGAGUGCGGUAGGGGAGACUGGAACUCCUGGUGUAGCGGUGGAAUGCGCAGAUAUCAGGAAGAACACCGGUGGCGAAGGCGGGUCUCUGGGCCGUUACUGACGCUGAGGAGCGAAAGCGUGGGGAGCGAACAGG
Molecule: ribosomal RNA, 751 nt
Filed under: uncultured Actinomyces sp.
Lineage: Bacteria; Bacillati; Actinomycetota; Actinomycetes; Actinomycetales; Actinomycetaceae
Description: bacterial SSU rRNA
Rfam family: Bacterial small subunit ribosomal RNA
Source: RNAcentral